This 195-nucleotide ribosomal RNA is filed under the name uncultured bacterium. Its description in RNAcentral is "partial 16S ribosomal RNA". It matches the Rfam family "Bacterial small subunit ribosomal RNA", at positions 328 to 539 of the family's 1533-position model. The record is from RNAcentral.
ACGCUCGACACCUGGAGGCAGCAGUGGGGAAUAUUGCACAAUGGAGGAAACUCUGAUGCAGCGAUGCCGCGUGAGGGAAGAAGGUUUUCGGAUUGUAAACCUCUGUCUUUGGGGACGAUAAUGACGGUACCCAAGGAGGAAGCUCCGGCUAACUACGUGCCAACAGCCGCGGUAAUCUGAGCGGGCUGGCAAGGC